RNAcentral lists this ribosomal RNA (254 nucleotides) under uncultured bacterium. RNAcentral describes it as "partial 16S ribosomal RNA". It matches the Rfam family "Bacterial small subunit ribosomal RNA", at positions 524 to 776 of the family's 1533-position model. The record is from RNAcentral.
UACGGGGGGAGCAAGCGUUGUUCGGAUUUACUGGGCGUAAAGGGCGCGUAGGCGGUCAGCACAAGUCAGUUGUGAAAUCUCCGGGCUUAACUCGGAAAGGUCAACUGAUACUGUGCGACUAGAGUGCAGAAGGGGCAACUGGAAUUCUCGGUGUAGCGGUGAAAUGCGUAGAUAUCGAGAGGAACACCUGCGGCGAAGGCGGGCCUCUGGGCCGUAACUGACGCUGAGGAGCGAAAGCAUGGGGAGCGAACAGG